This 733-nucleotide long non-coding RNA is filed under the name Homo sapiens (human). Its description in RNAcentral is "non-protein coding lnc-NUDT16-3:1". The record is from RNAcentral. Lineage: Eukaryota; Metazoa; Chordata; Mammalia; Primates; Hominidae.
AGAAGUGUAAAAAUGAUGACAGUAGGAGUUGAGUGGAGGAGAUGGCAAGUUGAGCGGAGGAGGUGGCAGUGGGGCCCCAGAUCAGGUGCCUCCAUGGCAGGCUCUGAAGAGCUGGGGCUCCGGGAAGACACGCUGAGGGUCCUAGCUGCCUUCCUUAGGCGUGGUGAGGCUGCUGGGUCUCCUGUUCCAAAUCCACCUAGAAGCCAUGCCCAAGAAGAGCCAACAGACUUCCUGAGCCGCCUUCGAAGAUGUCUUCCCUGCUCCCUGGGGCGAGGAGCAGCCCCCUCUGAGUCCCCUCGGCCUUGGUCUCUGCCCAUCCGCCCCUGCUAUGGUUCAGAGCCUGGCCCAGCUACUCCAGACUUCUAUGCCUUGGUGGCCCAGCGGCUGGAACAGCAAGAGCAACUGAAAUCUCCGCCUAGCCCUGCUGGCCUCGGACCCCGCCCUGCCGCAGCAAGCGGAUCAGCCUGGCCUCCGGCUUUUUCGCCCGCCUGGUGGAGCUGUUCUGUAGCCGGGAGGACAGCUCUCGCCCAAGCCGAGCAUGCCCCGGGCCCCCGCCUCCUUCCCAGGAGCCCCUGGCCCUGGCCAUGGAGCUGAGCCGGCGCGUGGCCGAGCUGGGGGACACCCGGGCCGGACUCAGCGUAGAGCACGCGCACAGCCUCACGCCCUGGAUCCAGGCCCACGGGGGCCGGGUGAGCCGCUGAAGCCUCUCUCUCCCGGCCUCACUUUACCCGAC